UUGCAGGAAAAUAUCAAUAAACCCAGAUUUUCCGUCCCAGAGCCUGUAAAGGUGAACCCACUGGGGCUGGCUGGGGGAGAAGAGGAAAGCUUGUUACAGAGGGAACUGUCUGAGGGAU
This 118-nucleotide small nucleolar RNA is filed under the name Ovis aries (sheep). Its description in RNAcentral is "Small nucleolar RNA SNORD22". It matches the Rfam family "Small nucleolar RNA SNORD22". From Rfam's summary of the family: U22 is a member of the C/D class of snoRNA which contain the C (UGAUGA) and D (CUGA) box motifs. U22 is encoded within the U22 snoRNA host gene (UHG) in mammals and has also been identified in Xenopus. Lineage: Eukaryota; Metazoa; Chordata; Mammalia; Artiodactyla; Bovidae. The record is from Rfam by way of RNAcentral.